RNAcentral lists this ribosomal RNA (497 nucleotides) under uncultured bacterium. Its description in RNAcentral is "partial 16S ribosomal RNA". It matches the Rfam family "Bacterial small subunit ribosomal RNA", at positions 28 to 507 of the family's 1533-position model. The record is from RNAcentral.
GAUGAACGCUGGCGGCGUGCCUAAUACAUGCAAGUCGAGCGAACAGACGAGGAGCUUGCUCCUCUGACGUUAGCGGCGGACGGGUGAGUAGCACGUGGAUAACCUACCUAUAAGACUGGGAUAACUUCGGGAAACCGGAGCUAAUACCGGAUAAUAUAUUGAACCGCAUGGUUCAAUAGUGAAAGACGGUUUUGCUGUCACUUAUAGAUGGAUCCGCGCCGCAUUAGCUAGUUGGUAAGGUAACGGCUUACCCAGGCAACGAUGCGUAGCCGACCUGAGAGGGUGAUCGGCCACACUGGAACUGAGACACGGUCCAGACUCCUACGGGAGGCAGCAGUAGGGAAUCUUCCGCAAUGGGCGAAAGCCUGACGGAGCAACGCCGCGUGAGUGAUGAAGGUCUUCGGAUCGUAAAACUCUGUUAUUAGGGAAGAACAAAUGUGUAAGUAACUAUGCACGUCUUGACGGUACCUAAUCAGAAAGCCACGGCUAACUACGUG